GGGGCCUUAGCUCAGUUGGCAGAGCGCCUGCCUUGCAUGCAGGAGGUCAGGAGUUCGAUUCUCCUAGGCUCCA
RNAcentral lists this transfer RNA (73 nucleotides) under Sinosporangium album. RNAcentral's name for it is "Streptosporangineae bacterium 6014 tRNA". It matches the Rfam family "tRNA". Rfam says of the family: Transfer RNA (tRNA) molecules are approximately 80 nucleotides in length. Their secondary structure includes four short double-helical elements and three loops (D, anti-codon, and T loops). Further hydrogen bonds mediate the characteristic L-shaped molecular structure. tRNAs have two regions of fundamental functional importance: the anti-codon, which is responsible for specific mRNA codon recognition, and the 3' end, to which the tRNAs corresponding amino acid is attached (by aminoacyl-tRNA synthetases). tRNAs cope with the degeneracy of the genetic code in two manners: having more than one tRNA (with a specific anti-codon) for a particular amino acid; and 'wobble' base-pairing, i.e. permitting non-standard base-pairing at the 3rd anti-codon position. RNAcentral also lists the same sequence under 1 other name. Lineage: Bacteria; Bacillati; Actinomycetota; Actinomycetes; Streptosporangiales; Streptosporangiaceae. The record is from Rfam by way of RNAcentral.